This 433-nucleotide ribosomal RNA is filed under the name uncultured bacterium. RNAcentral describes it as "partial 16S ribosomal RNA". It matches the Rfam family "Bacterial small subunit ribosomal RNA", at positions 29 to 507 of the family's 1533-position model. The record is from RNAcentral.
AAUGAACGCUGGCGGCAUGCCUAACACAUGCAAGUCGAACGAGACCUCCGGGUCUUGUGGCGCACGGGUGCGUAACGCGUGGGAACCUGCCCUUAGGUUCGGAAUACCUCCCCGAAAGGGGUGCCAAUACCGGAUAAUGUCUUAGGACCAAAGAUUUAUUGCCUUUGGAUGGGCCCGCGUUGGAUUCGCUAGUUGGUAGGGUAAAAGCCUACCAAGGCGACGAUCCAUAGCUGGUCUGCGAGGAUGAUCAGCCACACUGGGACUGAGACACGGCCCAGACUCCUACGGGGAGGAGCAGUGGGGAAUAUUGGACAAUGGGGGAAGGGCUGAUGCAGCAAUGUCGGGUGAGUGAUGAAGGGCUUAGGGUUGUAAAGCCCUUUUACCCGGGAUGAUAAUGACGGUACCGGGAGAAUAAGCUCCGGCUAACUACGUG